UGGGGAAUAUUGGUCAAUGGGCGCAAGCCUGUUCCAGCCAUACCGCGUGCAGGAUGAAGGCCUUCGGGUUGUAAAGUGCUUUUGUACGGAACGAAAAGGUUUGGACUAAUAAGCUGAGCUCAUGACGGUACCGUAAGAAUAAGCACCGGCUAACUACGUGCCAGCAGCCGCGGUAAUACGUAGGGUGCGAGCGUUAAUCGGAAUUACUGGGCGUAAAGCGUGCGCAGGCGGUUAUGUAAGACAGGUGUGAAAUCCCCGGGCUCAACCUGGGAACUGCAUUAGUGACUGCAGAGCUUGAGUGAGGCAGAGGGGGAUGGAAUUCCGAGUGUAGAAGUGAAAUUCGUAGAUAUGCGGAGGAACACCGGUGGCGAAGGCAAUCCCCUGGGCUUGUACUGACGCUGAUGGACGAAAGCGGGGGGAGCCAACA
RNAcentral lists this ribosomal RNA (427 nucleotides) under uncultured bacterium. Its description in RNAcentral is "bacterial SSU rRNA". It matches the Rfam family "Bacterial small subunit ribosomal RNA", at positions 355 to 774 of the family's 1533-position model. The record is from RNAcentral.